Molecule: small nuclear RNA, 179 nt
Organism: Pygocentrus nattereri (red-bellied piranha)
Lineage: Eukaryota; Metazoa; Chordata; Actinopteri; Characiformes; Serrasalmidae
Gene: U2
Rfam family: U2 spliceosomal RNA
About the family: U2 is a small nuclear RNA (snRNA) component of the spliceosome (involved in pre-mRNA splicing). Complementary binding between U2 snRNA (in an area lying towards the 5' end but 3' to hairpin I) and the branchpoint sequence (BPS) of the intron results the bulging out of an unpaired adenosine, on the BPS, which initiates a nucleophilic attack at the intronic 5' splice site, thus starting the first of two transesterification reactions that mediate splicing.
Source: Ensembl
CUCGCUUCUCGGCCCUUUGGCUAAGAUCAAGUGUAGUAUCUGUUCUUCUCAGUUUAAUAUCUGAUACAUCCUCUAUAUGAGGACUAUAUAUUACAUUGAUUUUUAGGAAGAGGGGCUUGCUCCAUCUGCUCCACACAUCGACCUGGUAUUGCAGUUCCUCCAGGAAUGGUGCGCCUCCU